This 268-nucleotide long non-coding RNA is filed under the name Lathyrus oleraceus (garden pea). RNAcentral's name for it is "Pisum sativum (pea) long non-coding RNA (PSAT_LNC025738)". The record is from RNAcentral. Lineage: Eukaryota; Viridiplantae; Streptophyta; Magnoliopsida; Fabales; Fabaceae.
GACCACCACCCUCUCAUAUGUUGGGUAUGCAACUACUCCACUGUUGCCGGGAAGAUACAGUCUGGCACUGUCGACUCUACUGGGGAUAUAUAGUCUGGAUACUGUCAACUCUACUAGGGAUAUACAGUCUGGAUACUGUCAACUCUACUAGGGAACCUGCUCUGCAGAGGAUAGACUUUGUCAACCGCUUGGGGAUGAGGAUUCAUGACUUGGCACCCGGCUCAUGUGACCUGUAACCAAAAAAUACACGUAUGCCCCAGGGAAUUAC